GAAAUGAAUGGAAAAAUUAGAGCUGCUAACUCUAAAUGAAGCGGUUAAAUUCCGUUAGCAUUU
RNAcentral lists this transfer RNA (63 nucleotides) under China mantispoides. RNAcentral's name for it is "tRNA-Ser". The record is from RNAcentral. Lineage: Eukaryota; Metazoa; Arthropoda; Insecta; Orthoptera; Chorotypidae.